Molecule: ribosomal RNA, 361 nt
Filed under: uncultured bacterium
Lineage: Bacteria
Description: bacterial SSU rRNA
Rfam family: Bacterial small subunit ribosomal RNA
Source: RNAcentral
GGGCCCGCACAAGCGGUGGAGUAUGUGGUUUAAUUCGACGCAACGCGCAGAACCUUACCCAGGCUUGACAUCCUCGGAACCUGAUGGAAACAUCGGGGUGUCCCCUCACGGGGAAGCCGAGUGACAGGUGCUGCAUGGCUGUCGUCAGCUCGUGUCGUGAGAUGUUCGUUAAGUCCGGCAACGAGCGCAACCCCUGUCGUUAGUUGCCAUCAAUUCGGUUGGGCACUCUAGCGAGACUCCCCGGUGUUAAGCCGGCGGAAGAUGGGGAUGACGUCAAGUCCUCAUGGCCCUUAUGUCUGGGCCUACACACGGUACUACAAUGGCGGUGACAGUGGGAAGCGAUAGGGUGACCUGGAGCGAA